RNAcentral lists this long non-coding RNA (248 nucleotides) under Manihot esculenta (cassava). Its description in RNAcentral is "long non-coding RNA (MESC_LNC010578)". Lineage: Eukaryota; Viridiplantae; Streptophyta; Magnoliopsida; Malpighiales; Euphorbiaceae. The record is from RNAcentral.
GGGCUAAUACCACCAAGGAGCCAAAGAAGAACAAGUUCUGGAACCGUCUGAAAUCAGGUCUGGGAUUAGGAGGUGGCUCGAGCUCAGGUCCAGACAGUGCAGUAUGUUUGAAGUGUGGGAAGCCGCACAAGGGAGUAUGUCGGUAUGGGACGACAGCCUGCUUCAGAUGUGGGCAGGAGGGACACAUGGCAUGAGAGUGUCCUAGAGCAGCUUUUAUGGCACAGUCCCAGCAGGCAGCUUCUGGUAGU